GACAGGUGAAUCAUCGAAUCUUUGAACGCACAUUGCGCCCGUUAGUAUUCUGACGGGCAUGCCUGUUCGAGCGUCAUUUCAACCCUCAGGCUCUCCUGCCUGGUGAUGGGGACUCUUUUUGCGGGUUUGUUAUCCCGCAAGCCCUGAAAGACAGUGGCGGGCUCCGCCAUGCUCCGAGCGCAGUAAUUUUCUCGCUCCGGCCGCGCGGCGGGUGNCUUGCCUUGCACACACACUUAACAAUGGUUGACCUCGGAUCAGGUAGGAAUACCCGCUGAACUUAAGCAUAUCAAUAAGCGGAGG
This 300-nucleotide unclassified non-coding RNA is filed under the name uncultured Ascomycota. Its description in RNAcentral is "sequence contains 5.8S rRNA gene, ITS2". The stretch from base 1 to 76 matches the Rfam family "5.8S ribosomal RNA", at positions 78 to 154 of the family's 154-position model. The record is from RNAcentral. Lineage: Eukaryota; Fungi; Ascomycota.